CUUAGUUGAGUUGAGUUUAUGUUGUUAAUUUUCUUGAAAUUGCUCAAGUUUUUUCAUUAUCUAGUUGAAUUUUUAACAAGUAAUAUUUUUAAUUAGCAGGAGAACAAUAAGAAAAAACAGAUGAGAAUAAAAAAGAAAAUAGAGUAGAAUUAGAACAAGGAGAAGAGGACAGAAUAAUCAAAAACAGAGGAGAAACAAUGCCAAAAGGAGAAGAAGAAAGAAUGAGGACAAGGAAAAAAAUACGGACAAUUAGAAGAAGAAGAAGAAGAAG
This 271-nucleotide unclassified non-coding RNA is filed under the name Hevea brasiliensis (rubber tree). The record is from RNAcentral. Lineage: Eukaryota; Viridiplantae; Streptophyta; Magnoliopsida; Malpighiales; Euphorbiaceae.